Molecule: long non-coding RNA, 1334 nt
Filed under: Oryctolagus cuniculus (rabbit)
Lineage: Eukaryota; Metazoa; Chordata; Mammalia; Lagomorpha; Leporidae
Description: lncRNA (ENSOCUG00000030261.1)
Source: RNAcentral
ACCCCGGGUUCCCUUUGGGUUUUGGGGCGGGGCCCCGGGCCAGUCCCGGUGGAAGGGCCACCGGAAAAACCCGGAAACCGGGGGGGGGGAAAAAAAGGGCCCCCCCCCCCCCCCCCCCCCCGCGCUCAUUCGCCGGCAGCCACCAGCGGGCUUUGCCUCCCGUGUGCCCGGGCUGUGACCCCACCAGUCCCCCGGAACCGUGUUUGCCCAGUGUACUGUCAGGCCACAUUCAGGGGUCCCCCCGUCGUCUUGGCCUGUGAGCACUCGAAGCAGGGUCCCCCCCACACCGAAACAGUGGCUGGGGCUCCCCAGGCAGCGCACGCCUCUAGACUCGCUCCCGCUCUGCUCACCACGCUCCCUCCAGAGGUCGGCUGUGGCCAGCGCUGCCCUUGGACGAUCUCUUCUCUCUCUCGGCGCUGCGGGCCGACCCAGAUGCUUGAAGCUAGGUCCCCAGUGGUCCCCAGACUCCGAGAGGCGUGUCCAGUGUUCACUUGCGGUCCCUGCUGGGAAGGCUCGGUGUGGCCAAAACAGUCUCAACAGUCUCUCUGCUUAACACCUCCGUCUGCCUCGUUGCUCGGCACAGUUGAGUGCUCACUUCCUGCCUUCCCGUCUCUUCCCUCCGCAGAGCAGCAGGUGCACCCGACCAGCCUCAGUGCAGCUGGAGGACUGGCCGUGGCCUGCACGUCCUUCCUCCCAGGCCUCUGUCUGUCCUGCCGUCACCCCUGCCGACCGUGUGCACACUUGCCCUGGCUGCUCCCCUUGUCUUAGAGUCGAUUUCCGCCUCAGAACUCGGCGUGUCCACUAACAUCAGACGCGACACGGCUCUCAGAGACCUGCUCCUGGACUCUGCGGCCGUGUUUUCCAUACUUCUUCAUCUCACAGAACCUUCUUUUAAAAGCUCUAAUCAGAUUCUGUCUCCCUUAGAUUAAGGACUUUCAAAGCCUGGUAAUUCUUACCACAUUGUACAAUGCUGAAUCUGUUAGGGAUAUUUUUGGCUCCGAGUAAUGGAAAAACUAACAGGGCCUUAAACAAAAGGGAGUUUCUUUUCCUCACAGGACGAGAAGUCCUGAGCAGGCGUUCGGGGGUGGUGUGUAGCUGCUAGAAGAUUCCAUGAAGCACUUGCCCUCUUGUGUGUUGGCGGUUCACCUCGUGGUCCCCGGAGGCUCCUGCAGCUCCAGACACCACAUCUGCAUCCUCCAUGAGGAAGUGGGAAGGGGGGAGAGGAGAGCUGCCCCAGUGAGCUCACUGCUGCGCUUCACCGUGUGUCGUUCCUCCUCGCUGCUGUUUCCCGGGUCUUCCUGCCGCCUGCCCCGUGCCUCUCGGGUCGCAGCCUG